UAGAUUAUAAUUGAUUGUUCUUAUGUCGAGCUUGCGACAUUAAACAAAGCGCUUAGUGGGAGACAACCCCCCAAUAUUUAUAUUUUAUAUUUUUUUUUAUUUCUUCCUUAAUUAUUCUUUUAACUUUUAUUUAGUAUUCAUUCUUAUUUUUAUCUAUUAAAAACUUUUCUCUUCUUCUUUCGGCAUUUGGCCAAAUCCUG
This 200-nucleotide long non-coding RNA is filed under the name Lathyrus oleraceus (garden pea). Its description in RNAcentral is "Pisum sativum (pea) long non-coding RNA (PSAT_LNC028721)". Lineage: Eukaryota; Viridiplantae; Streptophyta; Magnoliopsida; Fabales; Fabaceae. The record is from RNAcentral.